RNAcentral lists this ribosomal RNA (505 nucleotides) under uncultured bacterium. RNAcentral's name for it is "partial 16S ribosomal RNA". It matches the Rfam family "Bacterial small subunit ribosomal RNA", at positions 28 to 507 of the family's 1533-position model. The record is from RNAcentral.
GACGAACGCUGGCGGCGUGCCUAAUACAUGCAAGUAGAACGCACAGUUUAUACCGUAGCUUGCUACACCAUAAACUGUGAGUUGCGAACGGGUGAGUAACGCGUAGGUAACCUGCCUGGUAGCGGGGGAUAACUAUUGGAAACGAUAGCUAAUACCGCAUAAUAUUGAUUAUUGCAUGAUAAUUGAUUGAAAGAUGCUAUUGCAUCACUACCAGAUGGACCUGCGUUGUAUUAGCUAGUAGGUGAGGUAACGGCUCACCUAGGCGACGAUACAUAGCCGACCUGAGAGGGUGAUCGGCCACACUGGGACUGAGACACGGCCCAGACUCCUACGGGAGGCAGCAGUAGGGAAUCUUCGGCAAUGGACGAAAGUCUGACCGAGCAACGCCGCGUGAGUGAAGAAGGUUUUCGGAUCGUAAAGCUCUAUUGUAAGAGAAGAACGGGUGUGAGAGUGGAAAGUUCACACUGUGACGGUAUCUUACCAGAAAGGGACGGCUAACUACGUG